GAAUAAUUUGGACUUUCAAUUUUCAAUAUAUGUUAAGUGUUUAUAGAUUUGCUUAAUAUGUAAAAUUGUUAGGAUUUUGAAUUUCACAACCAAGGAGGAAAAGAGAUUUUACGGCCAAUAUAAACUUUAGUCAUCUUAAAGCAAAAAUUAAAGGUCCACUUUAGUUUGGCAGUAUAUGAAAGAAGCAUGUAUAAACUUCAUCUAGUAAGAAAUCCUCAAAUUAUCGCUAUCAAUAAUGAAGCGACUGAGGAAGUUGUCUAUACUCUAUGGUAACGCAAAGAUCUAAACGAGUCCUGCUAUAUAAUUUUCCACAAAGAGAUGUUAUAAAGGGUUUAAUCGUUUUCUUAUUAAAAAAGAUCCUAAGGAAAUCUUUACAAAUGCGAAUAAACAAGUAAAUAAACCCUUACAAAAAGAAAAAUGUGUACAAAAAUGGCUAGAAUAAGAAAUCCCCAAAAGAGAUGAGACCUAUAAAAAUUAAAAAAUUUAUAGAAACUGAAAAGCCUCUUGUAUUCCCAUUUAAAGGGUGAGAUUUUUUCUUUUAAGUUUUUCUAACUUUAUCAUUCAACUGUCCCAAUGAUGAUUAUCCUCAAUAGAUUUUAUUCAUUUAUUUUUUAUUUAGAUAUCUAAUUGUAAAUUUUAAAACUCAGAUUAAGAAGAUC
This 659-nucleotide long non-coding RNA is filed under the name Amborella trichopoda. Its description in RNAcentral is "long non-coding RNA (ATRI_LNC003969)". The record is from RNAcentral. Lineage: Eukaryota; Viridiplantae; Streptophyta; Magnoliopsida; Amborellales; Amborellaceae.